AACGAACGCUGGCGGCGUGCUUAACACAUGCAAGUCGAACGAUAAAGAAAAGAAUUGAAGCUUCGGCAGAAAUUCAGUUCGGAUUAGUGGCAGACGGGAUAGUAACGCGUGAGCAACCGACCUCUUACAAAGGGAUAGCCUCGGUAAACCGGGAUUAAUACCAUAUAACAUUGCGACGAAGCAUUUCGAUGCAAUCAAAGCUACGGCGGGAAGAGAUGGGCUCGCGUCCCAUUAACCAGAUGGUGAGGUAACGGCUUACCAUAGUAACGAUGGCUACACUGGAUGAGAGAGUGAGUCGUCACACCGGAACUGAGCCGCGGUCCAGACUAUUAGGGGAGGCAGCAGUGCCGAAUAUAGCCCAACCGAGGGAAUUAUGAUGGAGUGACGCUGCGUGAGUCAUGAAGGAAUUAGAUAAGUACAGCUCUGUUAUAUGGGAAGAAAAUGACGGUACCCUAGGAGUAAGCACCGGCUAACUUCGUG
RNAcentral lists this ribosomal RNA (480 nucleotides) under uncultured bacterium. Its description in RNAcentral is "partial 16S ribosomal RNA". It matches the Rfam family "Bacterial small subunit ribosomal RNA", at positions 29 to 507 of the family's 1533-position model. The record is from RNAcentral.